RNAcentral lists this signal recognition particle RNA (298 nucleotides) under Oncorhynchus kisutch (coho salmon). RNAcentral's name for it is "Metazoan signal recognition particle RNA (ENSOKIG00005024172.1)". It matches the Rfam family "Metazoan signal recognition particle RNA". From Rfam's summary of the family: The signal recognition particle (SRP) is a universally conserved ribonucleoprotein. The record is from Rfam by way of RNAcentral. Lineage: Eukaryota; Metazoa; Chordata; Actinopteri; Salmoniformes; Salmonidae.
GCCGGGUGCGGUGGCAUGUGCCUGUAAUCCAAGUCACUGGGAGGCUGAGGUUGGUGGAUCAAGUGAGCUGAGGAGCUCUGGGCUGCAGCACACUAUGUUGAACGGGUGUCCACGCUAAGUUCGGUAUCGAUAUGGUGUUCCAGGGGAGCCCGGGACCACCAGGUUGUCUAAGGAGGGGUGAACCGGCCCAGGUCGGAAACGAAGCAGGUCAAAUCCCCCGUGCUGUCCAGUAGUUGGAUAAUACCUGUGAGUAGAUGCUGCAGUGCAGCCUUGGCAAAACAUCGAGACCUAAUCUUUU